GAGUUUGAUCCUGGCUCAGGAUGAACGCUGGCGGCGUGCUUAACACAUGCAAGUCGAACGGGAAUGCCACGCUGAUGCGAUUUCGGUCAAAUCAUGUGGCAUUCGAGUGGCGGACGGGUGAGUAACGCGUGGGUAACCUGCCUUACACAGGGGGAUAACACCUGGAAACAGGUGCUAAUACCGCAUAAGCGCACAGGGCCGCAUGGCCCGGUGUGAAAAACUCCGGUGGUGUAAGAUGGACCCGCGUCUGAUUAGCUUGUUGGCGGGGUAGGGGCCCACCAAGGCGACGAUCAGUAGCCGGCCUGAGAGGGUGGACGGCCACAUUGGGACUGAGACACGGCCCAAACUCCUACGGGAGGCAGCAGUGGGGGAUAUUGGACAAUGGGGGAAACCCUGAUCCAGCGACGCCGCGUGAGUGAAGAAGUAUUUCGGUAUGUAAAGCUCUGUCAGCAGGGAAGAAAGAAAUGACGGUACCUGACCAA
This 482-nucleotide ribosomal RNA is filed under the name uncultured bacterium. RNAcentral describes it as "bacterial SSU rRNA". It matches the Rfam family "Bacterial small subunit ribosomal RNA", at positions 9 to 486 of the family's 1533-position model. The record is from RNAcentral.